UGAGGUUUGGGGGAGGGAUCCUGCGGGCCGAGAAAGGGAGAGAAAAAGUUAAGGAAUCCCAAACGGAACUGAAGUUUCUCCUCUCCUGCGUCCUCCUUCGUCGCGCUCGGCCCUUGGGGCUGGGAGCUCAGCUCGGGACCUCCCGUCACGGAAGUUGGUUGAGUUGCAAGUUCCCCGUGGGGAUUGACGGGGAAUCUCCAGUGUCUGGGGCAGGCCAGGGAGGAGGUCAAGAUGACUUAAGGGCUGCUUGGGAGAGGGGGAUUCCGAGGGGAUUUAGGGGUCGCGGGAGGAGGAAGCCGGCAACCAAAGGCACCGGCUCCCCGACCAGGGUGUGCGGCCUGGGCCUGGCUGGGUGGGUGGCUCCUGGGUUAUCAACUCAGGGGCAAGAAGGCUUUGGCCUUGGAGCCGGUUCGGCUGCUUUGCUCCAGGCCCUGGCGGCCCUCGCUUUCCAGUUGACCUUGCCCCCACGAAAACAGGGAGCAUUCCCAGAGAGAAAGAGGGAACCCGCGGGGCCUCAGGCGGUUUGGGGGAGUCACGUAUCAACCGGGAAACCAGGGCAACGGACGCGACAAAAUCCGACCCAGAGAAGUGUCCUUUAACAGAGCGAAUGAGCUGGGGGUGUUUUUGAGAGAAGACGGACCAGUCUAUUUUUGUGGUUAUUUUUUUAAUAAAGGGAAGCGAGAAAUAAGGGACAAGGUCGCCCCACAUUUUCCCCUGGACCGAGCCAUGGGUUUCGACUUUCCGAAGGGCUGGAACCUGGCCAGGAAAAGACCAGCGCUCCAGACACCCUGGCGCGGAGGAGUGAGGAGGCUGGAUCGCUUCUAGGGAGGCCCAAGCCCGCGGCUGCUAUAAGACGACUUCGGAAAGAAAUCCGCCGAAAUCUGUCAUCCAGAGAGUGAGAGACAAGGCGCAGGGGUCCCCGAACCCCAGGAAAACUGGAAGAAAAUGUGUAAUGUGUGACUUGCUGGCAGGGCCAGCCAGGGGAGAUUUGAAAUGCUUUCGUGUUUUCAUUUACAGAGGUCGCCAUGGGCUCGGCACAAGGGGUUGGCCCCGGCAAGGUUAGCCUGUUUAGGCCCCAGAUGAGACUUGGGACGGCCCCGGUGGCAGUCAAUCCAGGGAGCCAUUUGUCCCACCCCGCGGGAAACGCGCAGACUUUAUGGCCACUCUGUUUGUAUUAUCUGCGAUAAACGCAAACCCGGAGCUGUUAAACAAGAACCCGAAGACGCCAACUUGAAUAACUUGUUGGGUUUUUGCAGACUUGGGAUUCUGCACCAGUGGAGACGAAAGGAAGGAAGACGUGAGGGUGAGGACGGGGAGAGGGGAGCAUUUGUGCGGGUCUGGGAAAGUACAGUCAGGUGUGGGUCCCAGCCCUGCCCCCUUGGGCUCUGUCUUUCCCGAGGCCACGAGCAAAGGCUGUUUCCGUCCUAUUGUCCGGGCCUGGUGUUCAAAGGCAUUCAGGCUGCCACGGCCAUCCCACUUGCCGCCUGCCGCCACUGCUGCCCGCCUACCGGCCAAGCCCCACCGGGCCAAGACCCUCAGGCCUGCACCCCAAGGGAACUGGAUUGGGGUCCAGAAGAACUCUAUGUUGCUAAAAUCACCCUGUUAAGCCAUUUCCCCAACUUUCCGGGAGUGCUGCAUCUAUGCCUGACUCCGAGGCUCCCUCUUCUUGCCUCAACUUGGGGGAUGUGAAAAUCCAGGGGCUUCAGGCCAGAGCGGGCUCAGGCUGCACCUACCUUUUGACCAACCCCCCCUACCCCGAAAGCUCUGGCCCCCUGUGCCCUUCUUCCCGGUACCUAGACCCUGGAAGUGCAGCAGGGAUGAGCAGCUGGGCCUCCUGCCGCCAGUGGGACUGUGACCAAGGGAGAGGUGGAGGGUGCGCCUCGCAGACUUCAGGGUGGUCAGUGGGUUCCAGACGGCAGGCUGAGGACUGGGGCGCUAGGGGUCCCCAUGUGAAAACAGAAGAAGGAGAAUCUAGUGCUCGAUGAACAGAAAGGAACCUCGGCUGCUUUCCAGGCUCUUGCCCUCAAAGCACCCCAGAGGCACCCUGAUUUCUCCAAGGAAAAUUAGUGGAGCUUCCCCACAAGGCUAAGGACAUCAUCUAGGAAAUUCCAAAGGUGAGGUGAAAAGAAGAAAGAGUGUCUUUCCCUUUGGGAUAAAAUAAUAAAAUAAAAUAAUUAUACAGUGUGUGUGUGUGUGUGUGUGUGUGUGUGUGUGUGUGUGUGUGUGUGUUGAAAUCUCAAGUGAAAUGGAAAACAAAAUCACACCAGUGGUUAAAAUUGCAGGGUUUUUCCCUCUUGUUUUGGAGCCCAAAUAAAUCAU
Long non-coding RNA from Balaenoptera acutorostrata (minke whale), 2319 nucleotides. RefSeq lists it as uncharacterized. The record is from RefSeq and is a predicted model, not a curated record. NCBI's taxonomy places the organism in Eukaryota, Metazoa, Chordata, Mammalia, Artiodactyla, Balaenopteridae. The transcript is spliced from 3 exons.